Molecule: ribosomal RNA, 752 nt
Filed under: uncultured Glomus
Lineage: Eukaryota; Fungi; Glomeromycota; Glomeromycetes; Glomerales; Glomeraceae
Description: SSU rRNA
Rfam family: Eukaryotic small subunit ribosomal RNA
Source: RNAcentral
GGCCUACCAUGGUGGUAACGGGUAACGGGGUGUUAGGGCACGACACCGGAGAGGGAGCCUGAGAAACGGCUACCACAUCCAAGGAUGGCAGCAGGCGCGCAAAUUACCCAAUCCCGACACGGGGAGGUAGUGACAAUAAAUAACAAUACGGGGUUCUUUCGGAUCUCGUAAUUGGAAUGAGUACAAUUUAAAUCUCUUAACGAGGAACAAUUGGAGGGCAAGUCUGGUGCCAGCAGCCGCGGUAAUUCCAGCUCCAAUAGCGUAUAUUAAAGUUGUUGCAGUUAAAAAGCUCGUAGUUGAAUUUCGAGAUCAAAUUGUUGGUCGUGCCUCGGUACGUACUGGCAUUAUUGAUUUCUCCUUUCUGAAGAACCUUGAUGUCAUUAAUUUGGUGUCUUGGGGAAUCAGGACCGUUACUUUGAAAAAAUUAGAGUGUUUAAAGCAGGCUCACGCUUGAAUACAUUAGCAUGGAAUAAUGAAAUAGGACGUUUGAUUCUAUUUUGUUGGUUUCUAGGAUCGACGUAAUGAUUAAUAGGGAUAGUUGGGGGCAUUAGUAUUCAAUUGUCAGAGGUGAAAUUCUUGGAUUUAUUGAAGACUAACUACUGCGAAAGCAUUUGCCAAGGAUGUUUUCAUUAACCAAGAACGAAAGUUAGGGGAUCGAAGACGAUCAGAUACCGUCGUAGUCUUAACCAUAAACUAUGCCGACUAGGGAUCGGAUGAUGUUAAUUUUUUAAUGACUCAUUCGGCGCCUUACG